Molecule: ribosomal RNA, 541 nt
Filed under: Bactrocera neohumeralis
Lineage: Eukaryota; Metazoa; Arthropoda; Insecta; Diptera; Tephritidae
Description: partial 16S ribosomal RNA
Rfam family: Bacterial large subunit ribosomal RNA
Source: RNAcentral
UUAACAAAAACAUGUCUUUUUGAGUUAUUUUAAAAGUCUGACCUGCCCACUGAAAUUAUUUAAAUGGCCGCAGUAUUCUAACUGUGCAAAGGUAGCAUAAUCAUUAGUCUUUUAAUUGAAGGCUGGUAUGAACGGUUGGACGAGGUAUAAGCUGUUUCAUAUAAAUUUAUAAUAGAAUUUUAUAUUUUAGUCAAAAAGCUAAAAUUUAAUUAAAAGACGAGAAGACCCUAUAAAUCUUUAUAUUUUAAGUUGUUUAAAUUUUUUAGAUUAAUUUUAUUUUUAUAAUUUAGAGUAUUUUGUUGGGGUGAUAUUAAAAUUUAAUGAACUUUUAGUUGUUAAAAAUCAUUAAUUUAUGAGUUAUUGAUCCAUUAAUAGUGAUUAUAAGAUUAAGUUACUUUAGGGAUAACAGCGUAAUUUUUUUGGAGAGUUCAUAUCGAUAAAAAAGUUUGCGACCUCGAUGUUGGAUUAAGAUAUAUUUUUAGGUGUAGCCGCUUAAAUAUUAAGUCUGUUCGACUUUUAAAUUCUUACGUGAUCUGAGUUC